This 214-nucleotide ribosomal RNA is filed under the name Vibrio cholerae. Its description in RNAcentral is "partial 23S ribosomal RNA". It matches the Rfam family "Bacterial large subunit ribosomal RNA", at positions 1 to 210 of the family's 2925-position model. The record is from RNAcentral. Lineage: Bacteria; Pseudomonadati; Pseudomonadota; Gammaproteobacteria; Vibrionales; Vibrionaceae.
GUUGUAUGGUUAAGUGACUAAGCGUACACGGUGGAUGCCUGGGCAGUCAGAGGCGAUGAAGGACGUACUAACUUGCGAUAAGCGCAGAUAAGGCAGUAAGAGCCGUUUGAGUCUGCGAUUUCCGAAUGGGGAAACCCAACUGCAUAAGCAGUUACUGUUAACUGAAUACAUAGGUUAACAGAGCAAACCGGGGGAACUGAAACAUCUAAGUACC